AUUGAACGCUGGCGGCAGGCCUAACACAUGCGAGUCGAGCGGAUGAAGGGAGCUUGCUCCUGGAUUCAGCGGCGGACGGGUGAGUAAUGCCUAGGAAUCUGCCUGGUAGUGGGGGAUAACGUCCGGAAACGGGCGCUAAUACCGCAUACGUCCUGAGGGAGGAAGUGGGGGAUCUUCGGACCUCACGCUAUCAGAUGAGCCUAGGUCGGAUUAGCUAGUUGGUGGGGUAAAGGCCUACCAAGGCGACGAUCCGUAACUGGUCUGAGAGGAUGAUCAGUCACACUGGAACUGAGACACGGUCCAGACUCCUACGGGAGGCAGCAGUGGGGAAUAUUGGACAAUGGGCGAAAGCCUGAUCCAGCCAUGCCGCGUGUGUGAAGAAGGUCUUCGGAUUGUAAAGCACUUUAAGUUGGGAGGAAGGGCAGUAAGUUAAUACCUUGCUGUUUUGACGUUACCAACAGAAUAAGCACCGGCUAACUUCGUG
Molecule: ribosomal RNA, 484 nt
Filed under: uncultured bacterium
Lineage: Bacteria
Description: partial 16S ribosomal RNA
Rfam family: Bacterial small subunit ribosomal RNA
Source: RNAcentral